This 360-nucleotide RNase P RNA is filed under the name Actinomycetes bacterium. RNAcentral describes it as "RNase P RNA component class A". It matches the Rfam family "Bacterial RNase P class A". From Rfam's summary of the family: Ribonuclease P (RNase P) is a ubiquitous endoribonuclease, found in archaea, bacteria and eukarya as well as chloroplasts and mitochondria. Its best characterised activity is the generation of mature 5'-ends of tRNAs by cleaving the 5'-leader elements of precursor-tRNAs. The record is from RNAcentral. Lineage: Bacteria; Bacillati; Actinomycetota; Actinomycetes.
CGUGCAGGCCGGGUGACCGCGGGCCGCAUCGGGGCCCGAGGAAAGUCCGGACACCGCAGGGCAAGGGCGCUGGGGAAAUCCCAGGCGGCGAAAGCCGACGGAAAGUGGCACAGAAAAGACACCGCCAUGCGAGGCAUCACGCGAUGAGUCGUGCGGUAAGGGUGAAAAGGUGGGGUAAGAGCCCACCAGCGUCGUGGUGACACGGCGGCUCGCCAAACCCCGCCUGGUGCAAGGCGAAACAGGCUCCGCCAGCAGGCGGCCCGCCGAGGAGCCGGGUGCGCUGCUCGAGUCGCCGGGGAACCGGCGACCCAGAUAGAUGGUCACCCUCGACAGAAUCCGGCUUACAGGCCUGCUUCCGGA